RNAcentral lists this ribosomal RNA (538 nucleotides) under uncultured Geobacteraceae bacterium. Its description in RNAcentral is "bacterial SSU rRNA". It matches the Rfam family "Bacterial small subunit ribosomal RNA", at positions 9 to 526 of the family's 1533-position model. The record is from RNAcentral. Lineage: Bacteria; Pseudomonadati; Thermodesulfobacteriota; Desulfuromonadia; Geobacterales; Geobacteraceae.
GAGUUUGAUCCUGGCUCAGAACGAACGCUGGCGGCGUGCUUAACACAUGCAAGUCGAACGUGAUUGAGAGCUUGCUCUCAUGAAAGUGGCGCACGGGUGAGUAACACGUGGAUAAUCUGCCUGGCGAUUCGGGAUAACACUUCGAAAGGGGUGCUAAUACCGGAUAAGCCCACGGUCUCUUCGGAGAGCGCGGGAAAAGGGGGCCUCUGUAUAUGCUCCUGUCGCUAGAUGAGUCCGCGGCCCAUUAGCUAGUUGGUAGGGUAAUGGCCUACCAAGGCUACGAUGGGUAGCUGGUCUGAGAGGAUGAUCAGCCACACCGGAACUGAGACACGGUCCAGACUCCUACGGGAGGCAGCAGUGGGGAAUUUUGCGCAAUGGGCGAAAGCCUGACGCAGCAACGCCGCGUGAGUGAUGAAGGCCUUCGGGUCGUAAAGCUCUGUCAGAGGGGAAGAACCGCCGGGUGGCUAAUACCUGCCUGGUCUGACGGUACCCUCAAAGGAAGCACCGGCUAACUCCGUGCCAGCAGCCGCGGUAAUAC